AAGGAGAAUUACCUACUGUUUAAUUUUGAGGGUUCGUUUUUACGAAUACUCAAAAUUAGCACUUUUAGCAACAGAAUAAACUGAACGCAUGUGAAGUUUGUUUGUUGGCGUUGUGCGUUAGCACUUUAAGCAACGGGAUUUAUCCGUUGGCGCCGUGCUUUAGCACUUUGAAAACUGCAUAUAUAUAUUUAGUGAUAUGACAUCUAAUUUGUAAUAUAUAAAGCUGAUAACUUUUUAAAAUUAUCGAAGUUGAUAGCUUCUAAUCUAUCAAACCUUUUUAAC
Molecule: unclassified non-coding RNA, 282 nt
Filed under: Clostridioides difficile
Lineage: Bacteria; Bacillati; Bacillota; Clostridia; Peptostreptococcales; Peptostreptococcaceae
Description: 16S-23S ribosomal RNA intergenic spacer
Source: RNAcentral